GGUGAAAGUGGGGGACCGCAAGGCCUCAUGCUAUAGGAGCGGCCGAUGUCUGAUUAGCUAGUUGGUGAGGUAAAGGCUCACCAAGGCGACGAUCAGUAGCUGGUCUGAGAGGACGAUCAGCCACACUGGGACUGAGACACGGCCCAGACUCCUACGGGAGGCAGCAGUGGGGAAUUUUGGACAAUGGGCGAAAGCCUGAUCCAGCAAUGCCGCGUGUGUGAAGAAGGCCUUCGGGUUGUAAAGCACUUUUGUCCGGAAAGAAAUGGCUCUGGUUAAUACCUGGGGUCGAUGACGGUACCGGAAGAAUAAGGACCGGCUAACUACGUGCCAGCAGCCGCGGUAAUACGUAGGGUCCAAGCGUUAAUCGGAAUUACUGGGCGUAAAGCGUGCGCAGGCGGUUGUGCAAGACCGAUGUGAAAUCCCCGAGCUUAACUUGGGAAUUGCAUUGGUGACUGCACGGCUAGAGUGUGUCAGAGGGGGGUAGAAUUCCACGUGUAGCAGUGAAAUGCGUAGAGAUGUGGAGGAAUACCGAUGGCGAA
RNAcentral lists this ribosomal RNA (539 nucleotides) under uncultured Ralstonia sp. RNAcentral's name for it is "bacterial SSU rRNA". It matches the Rfam family "Bacterial small subunit ribosomal RNA", at positions 199 to 719 of the family's 1533-position model. Lineage: Bacteria; Pseudomonadati; Pseudomonadota; Betaproteobacteria; Burkholderiales; Burkholderiaceae. The record is from RNAcentral.